AAGAUUUUAAGUUAAUAAAACUAUUAACCUUCAAAGUUAAAAUUAAAUGUUUACAUUUAGGUCUUA
This 66-nucleotide transfer RNA is filed under the name Velarifictorus hemelytrus. RNAcentral's name for it is "tRNA-Trp". Lineage: Eukaryota; Metazoa; Arthropoda; Insecta; Orthoptera; Gryllidae. The record is from RNAcentral.